This 526-nucleotide ribosomal RNA is filed under the name uncultured bacterium. Its description in RNAcentral is "partial 16S ribosomal RNA". It matches the Rfam family "Bacterial small subunit ribosomal RNA", at positions 28 to 523 of the family's 1533-position model. The record is from RNAcentral.
GACGAACGCUGGCGGCGUGCCUAAUACAUGCAAGUCGAGCGCAGGAAACCAGAUGACCCCUUCGGGGUGAUUCUGGUGGAAUGAGCGGCGGACGGGUGAGUAACACGUGGGCAACCUGCCUGUAAGACUGGGAUAACUUCGGGAAACCGGAGCUAAUACAGGAUAGUAUUUCAUUUCUCCUGAUUGGAAAUGGAAAGACGGUUUCGGCUGUCAAUUACAGAUGGGCCCGCGGUGCAUUAGCUAGAUGGUGGGGUAAUGGCCCACCAAGGCGACGAUGCAUAGCCGACCUGAGAGGGUGAUCGGCCACACUGGGACUGAGACACGGCCCAGACUCCUACGGGAGGCAGCAGUAGGGAAUCUUCCGCAAUGGACGAAAGUCUGACGGAGCAACGCCGCGUGAGCGAUGAAGGCCUUCGGGUCGUAAAGCUCUGUUGUUAGGGAAGAACAAGUACGAGAGUAACUGCUCGUACCUUGACGGUACCUAACCAGAAAGCCCCGGCUAACUACGUGCCAGCAGCCGCAGUAA